RNAcentral lists this ribosomal RNA (504 nucleotides) under uncultured bacterium. RNAcentral describes it as "partial 16S ribosomal RNA". It matches the Rfam family "Bacterial small subunit ribosomal RNA", at positions 30 to 523 of the family's 1533-position model. The record is from RNAcentral.
AUUGAACGCUGGCGGCAGGCCUAACACAUGCAAGUCGAACGGUAGCACAGAGAGCUUGCUCUUGGGUGACGAGUGGCGGACGGGUGAGUAAUGUCUGGGAAACUGCCCGAUGGAGGGGGAUAACUACUGGAAACGGUAGCAAAUACCGCAUAACGUCUUCGGACCAAAGUGGGGGACCUUCGGGCCUCACACCAUCGGAUGUGCCCAGAUGGGAUUAGCUAGUAGGUGGGGUAAAGGCUCACCUAGGCGACGAUCCCUAACUGGUCUGAGAGGAUGACCAGCCACACUGGAACUGAGACACGGUCCAGACUCCUACGGGAGGCAGCAGUGGGGAAUAUUGCACAAUGGGCGCAAGCCUGAUGCAGCCAUGCCGCGUGUAUGAAGAAGGCCUUCGGGUUGUAAAGUACUUUCAGCGGGGAGGAAGGCGUUAAGGUUAAUAACCUUGGCGAUUGACGUUACCCGCAGAAGAAGCACCGGCUAACUCCGUGCCAGCCGCCGCGGUAA